This 1127-nucleotide long non-coding RNA is filed under the name Marmota monax (woodchuck). The record is from RNAcentral. Lineage: Eukaryota; Metazoa; Chordata; Mammalia; Rodentia; Sciuridae.
CACACAUUCCACCAUCCUUGCUCAUCUUCUGCCCCCUCCCUUUCCCUCCCACCCCUCUGCCUAUCUAGAAUUCAUCUAUACCUCCCAUGCUCUCCCUCCCUACCCCAUUAUGAGUCAGCCUCCUUAUAUCAGAGAAAACAUUCGGCAUUUGUUUUUUGGGAUUGGCUAACUUCACUUAGCAUUAUCUUCUCCAAAGCCAUCCAUUUACCUGCAAAUGCCAUGACUUUAUUCUCUUUUAUUGCUGUCUACUCCAUGAUUCUAUUUGUUGAAGCACAAUCACUGUUGUAUAGAAAAUGAUUGACUAGACCCAGCCUUGGGGAAUGGGAAAUGAAGUAAUUUUAGCUUGUAUACUUGCAAUUAGCAAUUAACAUUGUUUUUUGUCUAGGGGUGUUCGGUUAAUGAUGUAGCUAUGAUAGCUUUGCUCUCACCAAAAGACCAGUCCUCACCACACAGGACAGCCUUCCUUUCAAUAAGGAUGUCUGUGUGUCAGCAUUUGAGGUGGUCUGAUGUAGUGACAAAGUGUGACAGGGAGGCUGGGAGCUCCUUUGUGAAAUUGUACAGUGCAAUCCCUUUAUGGGUGUGUGUGAGUGACCCACACGCUUGUCUGAAUUCUGUUUCUUUUGAGUUUUCUCUGGGUCCAGUCCUCUUAUCCCUGUGCCCACUGUGCCCAAGUUCUUCUACCCCUGCAGCUGCCAGCCCAGUUGGGAGGCCAUCUGGGUAGGUUGGGCCAUUUCUGUUGUGGAGAUGAGCAGCUUUCCACAUGUCACAACUGGGGAUUUUUUCCUACUAUAGCUUCCACUGAUGAGGCUCCUUCUUUACCUACCCUAAACAUUACUCCUGCACUUCCCAAAGCACUAUUAUGUAUUCUUACUGUCUGCCUGCGCCAAUACUACUAACACAUUAAAUGAUUCUCAAAAGCUUACCAGUGUGGACUUGGUCUGUGUGUGUAAGCCAUGCUGUUAGUCUUACGUACACACAUGACCUGUUUUUAAAAUAUAAGUAUAUUCUUAAAAAUAAAUUGAUAUUACUUUGUAUGCUGUACUUUCUAUUUUAUUCUUUGUAAUCAAUUUGGUCACAGGCAAGACCCAGCCUCCUUGGGGGCAGGGCCUUGCCGUGCACCGCCUGCC